Molecule: ribosomal RNA, 253 nt
Filed under: uncultured bacterium
Lineage: Bacteria
Description: partial 16S ribosomal RNA
Rfam family: Bacterial small subunit ribosomal RNA
Source: RNAcentral
UACGAAGGGGGCUAGCGUUGCUCGGAAUCACUGGGCGUAAAGGGUGCGUAGGCGGGUCUUUAAGUCAGGGGGGAAAUCCUGGAGCUCAACUCCAGAACUGCCUUUGAUACUGAAGAUCUUGAGUUCGGGAGAGGUGAGUGGAACUGCGAGUGUAGAGGUGAAAUUCGUAGAUAUUCGCAAGAACACCAGUGGCGAAGGCGGCUCGCUGGGACGUUACUGACGCUGAGACGCGAAAGCGUGGGGAGCAAACAGG